This is a small nuclear RNA of Cebus imitator (Panamanian white-faced capuchin), 139 nucleotides long. Its record names the gene U4. It matches the Rfam family "U4 spliceosomal RNA". Rfam says of the family: U4 small nuclear RNA (U4 snRNA) is a component of the major U2-dependent spliceosome. The structure of U4 snRNA from yeast and human has been reported. NCBI's taxonomy places the organism in Eukaryota, Metazoa, Chordata, Mammalia, Primates, Cebidae. The record is from Ensembl.
AGCUUUGCCAGUGGCAGUAUCGUAGCCAAAGAGGUUUAUCCAAGGCGCGAUUAUUGCCAAUUGAAAACUUUUCCCAAUACCCUACCGCGACGACUUCGGUAUCGUCGGCAUUGGCAAUUUUUGACAGUCUCUGUGGAGA